GGGGUUGUGGCUCAGCGGUAGAGCACUCGCCCAGCACGUGCGAGACCCUGGGUUCCAUCCUCAGCACCACA
This 71-nucleotide transfer RNA is filed under the name Marmota monax (woodchuck). Its description in RNAcentral is "tRNA.Ala". The record is from RNAcentral. Lineage: Eukaryota; Metazoa; Chordata; Mammalia; Rodentia; Sciuridae.